GAUUGUACUAGGGACCGUGUUUUGUGUAAAUCCCGGUUGAGUAACAGUACAGAGGCCGGGGGAACAUUCACAAGCCCAUGCCAGGAAAGUCUCUGUUGAAACAGGGUAGUCUGGUGACAAGUUCCCGUAAGUGAAAGAGCCAGCCCUCACACUCACAACAGGGUUUGGUUCUGAGAAAAACCUGUCCUAGUUGAAACCAAGGAGAGCAGUGACAACCUGGAACGUCACCAUUAGCUAGAGAAUUUGGGAGUAUGUCCAACCGGCCUUACCUCAUGUAACUACGCCAGCCCAGGACCUCCACAUCUGGUUUCUUCAGCUGCAGGAUCAUCUGAGACUAGCCACUUGGACAGCUGAUGAAACUGAGGACUAUUUCUGUCUGUAAUAAAGCCCUUUUGUGGGCAAAAACUCAUUCUGAUUGGCUGGGCUCUCCAGUGGGUGGGCCUAUGCUCUCCCAGACCCACCCAUGGAUGUGCCCCUGCCCAGUCAUGUGAAAUCUAUAGACUAG
This 505-nucleotide long non-coding RNA is filed under the name Salmo salar (Atlantic salmon). RNAcentral's name for it is "lncRNA (ENSSSAG00000098235.1)". Lineage: Eukaryota; Metazoa; Chordata; Actinopteri; Salmoniformes; Salmonidae. The record is from RNAcentral.